ACAGAAGGGAGCUUGCUCCCGGAUGUUAGCGGCGGACGGGUGAGUAACACGUGGGUAACCUGCCUGUAAGACUGGGAUAACUCCGGGAAACCGGAGCUAAUACCGGAUAGUUCCUUGAACCGCAUGGUUCAAGGAUGAAAGACGGUUUCGGCUGUCACUUACAGAUGGACCCGCGGCGCAUUAGCUAGUUGGUGAGGUAACGGCUCACCAAGGCGACGAUGCGUAGCCGACCUGAGAGGGUGAUCGGCCACACUGGGACUGAGACACGGCCCAGACUCCUACGGGAGGCAGCAGUAGGGAAUCUUCCGCAAUGGACGAAAGUCUGACGGAGCAACGCCGCGUGAGUGAUGAAGGUUUUCGGAUCGUAAAGCUCUGUUGUUAGGGAAGAACAAGUGCAAGAGUAACUGCUUGCACCUUGACGGUACCUAACCAGAAAGCCACGGCUAACUACGUGCCAGCAGCCGCGGUAAUACGUAGGUGGCAAGCGUUGUCCGGAAUUAUUGGGCGUAAAGGGCUCGCAGGCGGUUUCUUAAGUCUGAUGUGAAAGCCCCCGGCUCAACCGGGGAGGGUCAUUGGAAACUGGGAAACUUGAGUGCAGAAGAGGAGAGUGGAAUUCCACGUGUAGCGGUGAAAUGCGUAGAGAUGUGGAGGAACACCAGUGGCGAAGGCGACUCUCUGGUCUGUAACUGACGCUGAGGAGCGAAAGCGUGGGGAGCGAACAGGAUUAGAUACCCUGGUAGUCCACGCCGUAAACGAUGAGUGCUAAGUGUUAGGGG
RNAcentral lists this ribosomal RNA (776 nucleotides) under Bacillus altitudinis. RNAcentral describes it as "bacterial SSU rRNA". It matches the Rfam family "Bacterial small subunit ribosomal RNA", at positions 69 to 829 of the family's 1533-position model. The record is from RNAcentral. Lineage: Bacteria; Bacillati; Bacillota; Bacilli; Caryophanales; Bacillaceae.